GACGAACGCUGGCGGCGUGCUUAACACAUGCAAGUCGAGCGGUAAGGCCCUUUCGGGGGUACACGAGCGGCGAACGGGUGAGUAACACGUGGGUGACCUGCCCUUAGCUCUGGGAUAAGCCUGGGAAACUGGGUCUAAUACCGGAUAUGACCUCAUGACGCAUGUUGUGGGGUGGAAAGCCUUGUGCGGCUAGGGAUGGGCCCGCGGCCUAUCAGCUUGUUGGUGGGGUGAUGGCCUACCAAGGCGACGACGGGUAGCCGGCCUGAGAGGGCGACCGGCCACACUGGGACUGAGACACGGCCCAGACUCCUACGGGAGGCAGCAGUGGGGAAUAUUGGACAAUGGGCGCAAGCCUGAUCCAGCCAUGCCGCGUGAGUGAUGAAGGCCCUAGGGUUGUAAAGCUCUUUUGUGCGGGAAGAUAAUGACGGUAUCGCAAGAAUAAGCCCCGGCUAACUUCGUGACAGCAGCCGACGGU
Molecule: ribosomal RNA, 475 nt
Filed under: uncultured bacterium
Lineage: Bacteria
Description: bacterial SSU rRNA
Rfam family: Bacterial small subunit ribosomal RNA
Source: RNAcentral